This is a long non-coding RNA of Oncorhynchus tshawytscha (Chinook salmon), 1231 nucleotides long. The record is from Ensembl. NCBI's taxonomy places the organism in Eukaryota, Metazoa, Chordata, Actinopteri, Salmoniformes, Salmonidae.
CCUCUGUCUGACCGCCCGCUCCUGUCCACAGCAUAGAAAAUGCUGACCGUGCCACAAUGAUCUGUCUGACCGCCCUCCCCUGUCCACAGCAUAGAAAAUGCUGACCGUGCCACAAUGAUCUCUGUCUGACCGCCCUCCCCUGUCCACAGCAUAGAAAAUGCUGACCGUGCCACAAUGAUCUCUGUCUGACCGUCCGCCCUGACCGUGUCACAAUGAUCUCUGUCUGACCGCCCGCUCCUGUCCACAGCAUAGAAAAUGCUGACCGUGCCACAAUGAUCUCUGUCUGACCGCCCUCCCCUGUCCACAGCAUUGAAAAUGCUGACCGUGCCACAAUGAUCUCUGUCUGACCGUCCGCCCUGACCGUGUCACAAUGAUCUCUGUCUGACCGUCCGCCCUGACCGUGUCACAAUGAUCUCUGUCUGACCGUCCGCCCUGACCGUGUCACAAUGAUCUCUGUCUGACCGUCCGCCCUGACCGUGUCACAAUGAUCUCUGUCUGACCGCCCGCUCCUGUCCACAGCAUAGAAAAUGCUGACCGUGCCACAAUGAUCUCUGUCUGACCGUCCGCCCUGACCGUGUCACAAUGAUCUCUGUCUGACCGCCCACUCCUGUCCACAGCAUAGAAAAUGCUGACCGUGCCACAAUGAUCUCUGUCUGACCGUCCGCCCUGACCGUGUCACAAUGAUCUCUGUCUGACCGCCCGCUCCUGUCCACAGCAUUGAAAAUGCUGACAGUGCCACAAUGAUCUCUGUUGGGACCAGCAGCUCUCGCAGGGAUCCCGCGGGGAUGCAGCCUUCUAGUGCAGUCAGUAGGCCAACACAACACUAUGCUCAUCAUGCCUUAGCAGGAUCAGACGGUGACAGGGUUCCCAGCUGGAUCAGACAGCCAGGGAAGACCAGUCUACUGAGCUCAGGAGGAUCAGAUGGUGACAGGGGUCUCAGCAGGGUUAGGCAGCCAGGGAAGUCUGUGAUGGAGAUUCUCCCUUCUUCCUGUUUUUAUUUGUUUGGAAAUGUUGAUACUGCAAACUGUUAUCUGAAGAAACAGUGUAACCAAGCAUUUAGAGCGUCUAAUAAAUGCAUUGCCAUUAAUCGGCGAAAAUUGAGAAAAAGGGUCCUAUCCUUAGCGUGGGCUGGAUGGUCAUGUUUCGGAGGACGCAUGACUCAACCUUCGCCUCCCGAGCCCGUUGGGGAGUUGCAGCGAUGAGACAAGAUCGAAAUUGGGGAGAAAAAGUG